UUAAAUUUGCGUCACAAAUAAAGUGAUACAGAAUGGUGAAUCUCUGGACUGUAUAUAAAGCGGAUUGUUCGUUUCAAUCAACAAUCAGUUUUCAAUAUAUCUCAGUCUCAGUUGAGUCCGUACAGUUAAUUAAGUAAACCAAACAAAAAUUCACAGAAUGGCCAAAUUUGUUGCUUUUCAAUUAUUGGUUGUGGUGUGUUCUGUAUCAAUUGCUAUUGCUGCACCAGCGCCAGAUCUCGAUCCAGACAACACAUCACACCGCGGUUUUUCAGAUAGGCUCGAUAGCCGAUUUGGCGGGAACAUGAUCUACGAAAAUUUCGCUCGUCCCGCAAUUCACGGAGCGUAUCACGCUGGUCGCUAUGUGGGCAAUGGAAGAAAUCCGGAAGAGUGGGCCCGGGCAAAGGAUCAAUUUAGUAAAUUUGGUACUGGUCAACAGCGUACUGACUAUCUUCGGGCGCACCGUCAAGGUUGAAUCAAUAAAAUGUAAAUGUAGUACGUGCGUGGGUAAAUAAAAUAAUUUCUGGAAA
Molecule: long non-coding RNA, 527 nt
Organism: Bradysia coprophila
Lineage: Eukaryota; Metazoa; Arthropoda; Insecta; Diptera; Sciaridae
Source: RefSeq, a predicted model, not a curated record